AACUACACACAACACACAUUUUUUUAGGUUUUAAGACAAGAGAAAUCUAUUUUUUAUAUAGAUUUUUUUUUGGAAAUGACAUGAUAAAGGUGAAAAUAACUAUUAAUAAAAAAAAGAACAAAUUAAGAAAAAAAAUUAAUAAAAAAUAGAGAAUGCUAUUUUUAUUAAAUUAUCCUUAUCAUGUUUUGAGAAUAUUGAAAGUAAUAUUAAUUAAAAGAUACCUUUAAAAAAAUGGAUUAAAAAUUAAAAUAAAUCAUUCACUUUAGGAUCAUCUUUUAUUUCAAACGGAUCAUUCAUCGUGGAACAUGGGAUUAAUAAUAAGCAUUUGUGUUAAAAGUUUUUUUUAAAAACAUUAUAACAUUUUUUCCCUACUUGGACUGCAACAUUUUUUAAACCCACACCGUCCGUACUCCUCCUUCUAGGUUUGGAAUCGGCUAGACGCUGCUUGUGCAUAGCAUAUUAGCAUCUAUAAUACCACAUUCCCCACAACCCACAACCCACAGUGAACAUUCGAAGGAAACAAAAUGGAAGACGUGAUAACAGAAGCAGCACCACCAUCAAGAUUACUAGAAGAAGGCCUAAACAAUUUCACACCACCAUCUAAACCUCUUCCUUCACCCUUUCUCAUCUUCCCCCACCCUCAACAACAACAACCCCUCAAACCGAACCUCCUCAUCAUCGCUAUCUCUUCUACUUCUCUCUCUCCUCUUUCCAAACCAUCCUCAACCUACCAAACCCUAACCGCCUCACUCAUCCUCCCUAACUCCCUCUCUCUCAUCCCUACAACACCAUCGACAUCCACUCCAUCUCAUCUAACAUCCUCCUCGCCGCC
Molecule: long non-coding RNA, 832 nt
Filed under: Lathyrus oleraceus (garden pea)
Lineage: Eukaryota; Viridiplantae; Streptophyta; Magnoliopsida; Fabales; Fabaceae
Description: Pisum sativum (pea) long non-coding RNA (PSAT_LNC006621)
Source: RNAcentral